GCUAUAUGAAAUUCCAUUUUGUUACCCAAGUCAAUCUCAUACGUUCGGCGGACUUCAGCCGUAUGCAAGCGGUCUGAAAAUCUUAUAAAUUAAGUUUAUUACAUUUUUAAUUUAUUAAGACGUUUAAUGAUUAUCCAAUGCGAAGGAUGGAAAACUUACAACAAGGAUCCACUUAUUUUAUGUUCAAAAUUGAAGAAAAUUACUUAUUAAAUAACGUUAGAUGUGAUUAAACAGAAAUCUAUGGCAUUCUGGCGGUAAUACCCGAUUGAACCGUCACGGGUGUUCACUGGUGAUGUAUCUUCACUGAAUGACCAAUUAACUGACCGUCGCCGUUAAAUACAUGGUCGUAUACAAUAUGGUCGUUAACUUGUGGAAGGGCACUCUGAGAAAUUUUGGUUCAAAUAAGGCAUCGCGCAAUAAUGAACCCCUGAUGUAUUUCUGUUUAAAAAUAACCAACGAUAUGAUGGGA
Molecule: long non-coding RNA, 469 nt
Organism: Acyrthosiphon pisum (pea aphid)
Lineage: Eukaryota; Metazoa; Arthropoda; Insecta; Hemiptera; Aphididae
Exons: 4
Source: RefSeq, a predicted model, not a curated record